Molecule: ribosomal RNA, 482 nt
Filed under: uncultured bacterium
Lineage: Bacteria
Description: partial 16S ribosomal RNA
Rfam family: Bacterial small subunit ribosomal RNA
Source: RNAcentral
AUUGAACGCUGGCGGCAGGCCUAACACAUGCAAGUCGAGCGGAUGAAGGGAGCUUGCUCCUGGAUUCAGCGGCGGACGGGUGAGUAAUGCCUAGGAAUCUGCCUGGUAGUGGGGGAUAACGUCCGGAAACGGGCGCUAAUACCGCAUACGUCCUGAGGGAGAAAGUGGGGGAUCUUCGGACCUCACGCUAUCAGAUGAGCCUAGGUCGGAUUAGCUAGUUGGUGGGGUAAAGGCCUACCAAGGCGACGAUCCGUAACUGGUCUGAGAGGAUGAUCAGUCACACUGGAACUGAGACACGGUCCAGACUCCUACGGGAGGCAGCAGUGGGGAAUAUUGGACGAUGGGCGAAAGCCUGAUCCAGCCAUGCCGCGUGUGUGAAGAAGGUCUUCGGAUUGUAAAGCACUUUAAGUUGGGAGGAAGGGCAGUAAGUUAAUACCUUGCUGUUUUGACGUGACCAACAGAAUAAGCACCGGCUAACUUCG